AUGUGUCGAAUUACUCGGUACAAUAUUCUUAGAACAAAAAACCCCUCUUAUCUUAUAUAUAUAAGAAAAAAAGUUGUGUUUGGUAUACUGUGUGCUAAGUAUUCUUUUCCUAUCAAUGAACUUUCCAUAAUUUUCAUAAUAGAAUCCUCAUAUUCUAUUAUGAAAAUUAUGAAAAGUGGAGUAUUCUUACAAUAG
This 195-nucleotide ribosomal RNA is filed under the name Triticum aestivum (bread wheat). Its description in RNAcentral is "partial small subunit ribosomal RNA". The record is from RNAcentral. Lineage: Eukaryota; Viridiplantae; Streptophyta; Magnoliopsida; Poales; Poaceae.